RNAcentral lists this transfer RNA (67 nucleotides) under Marmota marmota marmota (Alpine marmot). It matches the Rfam family "tRNA". From Rfam's summary of the family: Transfer RNA (tRNA) molecules are approximately 80 nucleotides in length. Their secondary structure includes four short double-helical elements and three loops (D, anti-codon, and T loops). The record is from Rfam by way of RNAcentral. Lineage: Eukaryota; Metazoa; Chordata; Mammalia; Rodentia; Sciuridae. RNAcentral also lists the same sequence under 1 other name.
GGUUGUGGCUCAGUGGUAGAACGCUUGCCUAGCAUGCAUGAGGCACUGGGUUCAAUCCCCGGAACCA